UUGUGCGACUGUGCAAGUGUUCUAGAGGGCUAUUCUAUGUCCUCUACCAUAGUUCGUUCGUUUGCUAUUGAAUAUUAGUUGGGAUUUGGCAUAUCAUAGAAAUACAUUGAAUAACUAUAGGUUUUUUAUGAAUGAAUUACAUUUUGUUUGAUUUCACUAUUGUUUAUAUGCUCAUUUUAGUAGCUUUUCUUUUCUCAUAAUCGACAUGUUUGUACUUUAAUAAGUCUAGAAUACUUUCGAGAUUCUUGUUUUGAUAGAAGGAUUGAUGCCGGACUCGGAAAUUAACUUCAGUUAUAGCAAUGUGAGAUGUUGGUAUCGAUGCCAUGUGGUAGCUAGAGAGGUUAGCAUCAAUGUCCUAUACAAGAGCUCUAUUUUAUUUUUCUUAAUCAAACAAAAUUUACAUUGGGUUUUCUUGUUUAUUGAUCAUUUUUUGUUUCGUUUGUGGAAGGCUAACAGUGAUGUAGAUGAGUUUAUCACUUUUGAGAACUAUAGAUACUUUAUUGUAACGAAUAAUUAUUUUAAUGAAAUGAUAUUUUUUUUA
This is a non-coding RNA of Erythranthe guttata (spotted monkey flower), 541 nucleotides long. The record is from RefSeq and is a predicted model, not a curated record. NCBI's taxonomy places the organism in Eukaryota, Viridiplantae, Streptophyta, Magnoliopsida, Lamiales, Phrymaceae.